UUUUUUUUUUUUUUUUUAAGAGACAGGGUUUCAUUCUGUCGCCCGGUCUGGAGUACAGUGACACACUCAUGGCUUGCUGCAGCUUCGACCUCCUGGGCUCAAGCAAUCUUCCUGCAGCUGGGAAUACAGGUGUGCACCACCACACCCUGCCAACUAUACAUCCAUCACCACCCUAUCCUCUCAGCCCCCAAAGUCAUGAGGCUUUGGUUAGGUGUCAGGAUGUUUUCAAAUGAAAAUUAAUGAAAACGGCGGGCCCAGUGGCUCAUGCCUGUAAUCCUAGCACUUUGGGAGGCCGAGGUGGACAAAUCACCCGAGUUCAGGAGUUCGAGACCAGCCUGGCCAGCAUGGUGAAACCCCGUCUCUACUGAAAAUAUAAAAAUUAGCCGGGGGUGGUGAUAGGCGCCUGUAAUCCCAGCUACUCGGGAGGCUGAGACAGGAGAAUUCCUUGAACUCGGGGGUCAGAGGUUGCAGUGAGAUUGCACCACUGCCCUCCAGCCUGGACGACCGAGUGAGACUCCAUCUCAAAACAAAACAAAUCAAAGGUAGCUCUUGAAACAACCAAAACAAAGUUAAAGUUGUAAAGAAUGGAAAGUCCUUAGCAUUGAUCAGAAUUAAUCUUUGACGGGGUGAGGUGGUUCAUGCCUAUAAUCACAGCACUUUGGGAGGCUAAGGUGGGAGGAUCAUUUGAGCGCAAUUUGAGACCAGCCCAGGCAACAUAGUGAGAUCUCAUUUCUACUGGAAAUCAAAAAAUUAGCCAGACAUGGUGGCACCUGCCUAUAAUCCUGGCUACUCAGGAGGCAGAAGUGGGAAGAUUCUUUGAGUCUGGGAGGUUGAGGCUAUGGUGAGCUAGGAUGGCACCACUGCACUCCAGCCUGAGCAGCAGAGUGAGACCCUGUCUCAAAAAAAAGAAAAAAAAAUUCUCAGUCUUCUCCCCUAAGCCUUCUCCCCUGCCACAGCCUUCCUCAAGUACACUGAAAACAAACAUCCUGUACAUUGUUUGGGUCAAAUACUGGCUUUAUCCUUGAUGCCUCACUUUCUUUCAUAUCCCAUAGUCAGUUGGUCUGGAAAAAAAAUAGAAGUUUCCCCAGAAUAAAAAAAAAAUCCCAAAGUUGGUUGGGCUUGGUGAUAUAUGUUAUUAGGAGUCUAGGUUUUCUCAGUCUGCAGCAUCAGCUUCAGUAAAGGCUGAUUCUCCUCAUGGUCACAAAGUGGCUGCCACCACUCACUGAGGCACUGUCUCCUCUGGGGAGAAGGAGGAGCUGCUCACCCUCAUCAGCCCAGAGUAAGCCCUGCCUUGCAUCUCAUUGGCCCACUGGCUCAGGCCCAGUCAAUCACUGGCAAAUGGGGAUGGAAUUAGCAGCACUGACUGAGCUCAGUGGUUCUCAAAAGUGUGGUCCCAGGGCCAGCAGCACUGGCCUCACCUGGGAAUUUGUUAGAACUGCACAUCCGGCCGGGCGCGGUGGCUCACGCUUGUAAUCCCAGCACUUUGGGAGGCCGAGGCAGGUGGAUCACCUAAGGUUGGGAGUUCAAGACCAGCCUGACCAACAUGGAGAAACCCCGUCUCUACUAAAAAUACAAAAUUAGCCGGGGUGAUGGCACAUGCCUGUAAUCCCAGCUACUCGGGAGGCUGAGGCAGGAGAAUCGCUUGAACCUGGGAGGCGGAG
RNAcentral lists this long non-coding RNA (1661 nucleotides) under Macaca fascicularis (crab-eating macaque). RNAcentral's name for it is "lncRNA (ENSMFAG00000048528.1)". The record is from RNAcentral. Lineage: Eukaryota; Metazoa; Chordata; Mammalia; Primates; Cercopithecidae.